GAUUAAUAAUCACCUUUCUAUUGCAGUACAUCAUAGCUUUCUUUUGUUGUCUUUGUACAUUAUAAUAUGUACAGUUCUCAAUUUUUCAUCAGCAACUAACAUAAAUUCUUCCUACCUGAUGUCAAAGAAAUUCAGUUGCUGUGUGAGCUGGAGAAGGUGGAAAAACUUCCUGUUAGCUCACAAGAGAGACAGAUGAGUCAUUAGGGCACAAGCUGUUCUGUCUUUUAGGACAUAAUUCUCUUAUCAAUUCAUUACACAUUGUUCAUACAAAACAAACAGUGUCCCCAGAAUAAGUCUUAUUUUAUGUUAAAGCUCUUCGCGCAGAUGGUGUUUGACAGGCUAUCUGACGAGACAGCCAUACUAAUGGGAUGCCAGCUCUGGAAUUCCUGUUGCUUGGGAAAGAGAACUCUGUAACAAUCAGAGUUCGAUGUUGCUCCGGGCGUUCUCUUUGUAGAUGAUAAAUGCUACUACACAACUGUUUGCCCCAUGCGGAGAUGCACAGCUGUGCUACACCAGAAAAGCAGCAUAUUUCUACAGUGCUAUUUCAGUAGAUUGUGCUGCACACUUUCGCAACUUCCAUGUCAAACCAGCAGAGGGUACUCUUAAGCUUCCAAGAAGAUGUUAAAUUGCUUCAUGAGGCCAAAACGUCAAACUGGGUACCGAGGGAAGGGGACAGAAAUGUCCCCUCUUUAAUGACAAUAUAUGAGCCUGAUCACAGGGGAGUCCUUGCAAAUGAGAAGGACCAAAUGUUAACGAUGCCAGGAAUUUGGAUAAUGCUGGUAAAUGCAUCUCAGGACCUGCAGGUGCCAAAUGCCUUUGAGAAGCGCUCUUCUCCCAAAGGGCAGGGCUGGGGGAGCUGGAGAUCCCUUGGUAUGGAGGUAGUCUGCAGGCGGUGCCUCACAGAGGUAUGA
This is a long non-coding RNA of Numida meleagris (helmeted guineafowl), 911 nucleotides long. NCBI's taxonomy places the organism in Eukaryota, Metazoa, Chordata, Aves, Galliformes, Numididae. The record is from Ensembl.